AUUGAACGCUGGCGGCAUGCUUUACACAUGCAAGUCGAACGGUAACAGGCCUUCGGGUGCUGACGAGUGGCGAACGGGUGAGUAAUGCAUCGGAACGUGCCCAGAGGUGGGGGAUAACGCAGCGAAAGCUGUGCUAAUACCGCAUGUGAUCUGAGGAUGAAAGCGGGGGACCAGGCAGCAAUGUUUGGCCUCGCGCCUUUGGAGCGGCCGAUGUCAGAUUAGGUAGUUGGUGGGGUAAAGGCCUACCAAGCCGACGAUCUGUAGCUGGUCUGAGAGGACGACCAGCCACACUGGGACUGAGACACGGCCCAGACUCCUACGGGAGGCAGCAGUGGGGAAUUGUGGACAAUGGGCGCAAGCCUGAUCCAGCAAUGCCGCGUGCGGGAAGAAGGCCUUCGGGUUGUAAACCGCUUUUGUACGGAACGAAAAGGCUCUGGCUAAUACCUGGGGCUGAUGACGGUACCGUAAGAAUAAGCACCGGCUAACUACGUG
RNAcentral lists this ribosomal RNA (492 nucleotides) under uncultured bacterium. RNAcentral's name for it is "partial 16S ribosomal RNA". It matches the Rfam family "Bacterial small subunit ribosomal RNA", at positions 30 to 507 of the family's 1533-position model. The record is from RNAcentral.